GAAAUGCGAUAAGUAAUGUGAAUUGCAGAAUUCAGUGAAUCAUCGAAUCUUUGAACGCAUCUUGCACUCCUUGGUAUUCCGAGGAGUAUGCCUGUUUGAGUGUCAUGAAAUUCUCAACUAUAGCAUUUAGUUAUGCUUAUAGAUUGGAUUUGGGAUUUUGCUGGCUACUUAAUGUUGUCAGCUAUCCUUAAAUGCAUUAGCAGAGCAACAUUGUCUGAUUGGUGUGAUAAUUAUCUGCACUAUAAUGAUAAUGUAUUGGUUCAGCUUCUAAUUUGACAUGAUAUUUGACAAUUUGACCUCAAAUCAGGUAGGACUACCCGCUGAACUUAA
This 330-nucleotide unclassified non-coding RNA is filed under the name uncultured Agaricales. RNAcentral's name for it is "sequence contains ITS1". The stretch from base 1 to 105 matches the Rfam family "5.8S ribosomal RNA", at positions 50 to 154 of the family's 154-position model. The record is from RNAcentral. Lineage: Eukaryota; Fungi; Basidiomycota; Agaricomycetes; Agaricales.